GCAGCAUAAAUGGUACGCUGCCACUUUAAGAUCAAUUUCAGCUGCUGCAUAUAAGCAGGUCUCUACCUGCCACAUGACUACUUGCGUCAUGACGUCAACUCAUUUUGCUUAGUUUGUUUGCUGAGCUGUGCUGGCCUCCAUUGCUGUGCCUCCAACUCCUGGACCAAUUUGUUCGGUUGUUUGCUGCCGGUAAGGUAAGCGCUAGCAUGGCUAGGUAACAUCCGUCUCAUGUAAACGAAGCCUUUAUGUAGUAUUCUGUUACAGCUGCGCUCCGUAGGUGAACUUGUGGAUCUGUUAAUCUGGCCGUGUGGUAAUUUACAGCCUCCUGCCGAGUCCCUGACAACUAUUCUAUUUGGAUGUACACUCGCUGCUGUUUUGCCUACGAUGAAUUGUUUUAAAGGAUUUGUAUGAACUUUCCCCCGCUGCCGGGAGCAUCGAUGGCACUACGAACAGGAUAAAAAGCAAUAUUGUAGUGCUAUUGUAUCACUGUUUUACUCGUAUUGUUUCAUUUUUUUGUCUUUCUUUUAGGGACUGAGGCUUCUGUGGUGGCGGUGGUGACCCCUGGUGGCGGUGUCUUGUCUCGUGUGUUUUGUGGAACACCCCUUUUUUUUGUGUGUAUGUUUGCCGUGUCUUUGUAGUGUCCAGGGUGAUCCCUUUUCUUCACUGGAUGUUGCCCCUUUCCUCACUACUCUCCCCCCACUGGUAAGCCUCAGUUUCCUUUGACAUUUAAACAUUUUAUAAUCAACUUUAUUAAAAAUGCAUUCACUGUUUUAACUAUUCGAUUUCAGGUUAUUGUUAAAUUAAACAACCUAUUAAAGUUUAAUAAAUUUUUUGUAGAAUUGUC
Xiphophorus hellerii (green swordtail) is the source of this 844-nucleotide long non-coding RNA. RefSeq lists it as uncharacterized. The record is from RefSeq and is a predicted model, not a curated record. The transcript is spliced from 3 exons. NCBI's taxonomy places the organism in Eukaryota, Metazoa, Chordata, Actinopteri, Cyprinodontiformes, Poeciliidae.